RNAcentral lists this long non-coding RNA (334 nucleotides) under Prunus persica (peach). Its description in RNAcentral is "long non-coding RNA (PPER_LNC007849)". Lineage: Eukaryota; Viridiplantae; Streptophyta; Magnoliopsida; Rosales; Rosaceae. The record is from RNAcentral.
GGGUGUUGUUGGAUUUGGCCACGUCGGCCAACGCCGUGGCGUAGCUGGCGGCGGCGGAGGAGUUCAUUCUGGCGCCGAGGGCUCCGCCGCCGUUUCGGCGGAGGGUGACGACGGCGGCGGCGGAGGAGGAGAGCUUGAGGGGGAUGGGGGUGAAGGUGGAGGAGAAGGAGAAGGAGAGGGUGGAGGUUCUGGGGGUGAGGGUGGAGGAGAGUUGUGGUGGGGAUGAUGGGUUUUGGGAUUGGAGAGAGAUUGGGGUGUGUUGGAGGGCGGCCAUUGGUCAAUUGGGUGGCUCUCUUUCUCACUCUCACUCUUGGUUUGAUGAUGCGAAGAGAGA